RNAcentral lists this ribosomal RNA (119 nucleotides) under Gadus morhua (Atlantic cod). Lineage: Eukaryota; Metazoa; Chordata; Actinopteri; Gadiformes; Gadidae. The record is from RNAcentral.
GCUUACGGCGAUACCAACUUAGGCACGCCCGAUCUCGUCUGAUCUCGGAAGCUAAGCAGGGUCGGGCCUGGUUAGUACUUGGAUGGGUGACGGCCUGGGAAUACCAGGUGCUGUAAGCA